Molecule: ribosomal RNA, 519 nt
Filed under: uncultured Acaulospora
Lineage: Eukaryota; Fungi; Glomeromycota; Glomeromycetes; Diversisporales; Acaulosporaceae
Description: SSU rRNA
Rfam family: Eukaryotic small subunit ribosomal RNA
Source: RNAcentral
AGCAGCCGCGGUAAUUCCAGCUCCAAUAGCAUAUAUUAAAGUUGUUGCAAGUUAAAAAGCUCGUAGUUGAAUUUCGGAAUUUGUCGGUUGGUCGGGCUUCACUGUCCGCACUGACCUGAUGAAUUCCUACCUUCUGAAUAACCAGCAUGCUAUUAAGUUAGUGCGUUGGGGAAGCAGAGCUAUUACCUUAGAAAAAAUUAGAGUGCUUAAAGCAGGCUUGUGCUUGAAUAGAUUAGCAUGGAAUAAUAAAAUAGGACGGCAUGGUUCUAUUUUGUUGGUUUCUAGGAUCACCGUAAUGAUUAAUAGGGAUAGGUUGGGGGCAUUAGUAUUCAAUUGUCAGAGGUGAAAUUCUUGGAUUUAUUGAAGACUAACUUCUGCGAAAGCAUUUGCCAAGGAUGUUUUCAUUAAUCAAGAACGAAAGUUAGGGGAUCGAAGACGAUCAGAUACCGUCGUAGUCUUAACCAUAAACUAUGCCGACUAGGGAUCGGACGGAUGUUUAAUUUUUAAUGACUCGUUUCC